UACGUAGGGGGCAAGCGUUGUCCGGAAUUAUUGGGCGUAAAGAGCUCGUAGGCGGUUUGUCGCGUCUGCUGUGAAAACUGGAGGCUCAACCUCCAGCCUGCAGUGGGUACGGGCAGACUAGAGUGCGGUAGGGGGAGAUUGGAAUUCCUGGUGUAGCGGUGGAAUGCGCAGAUAUCAGGAGGAACACCGAUGGCGAAGGCAGAUCUCUGGGCCGUAACUGACGCUGAGGAGCGAAAGCAUGGGGAGCGAACAGG
RNAcentral lists this ribosomal RNA (254 nucleotides) under uncultured bacterium. Its description in RNAcentral is "partial 16S ribosomal RNA". It matches the Rfam family "Bacterial small subunit ribosomal RNA", at positions 524 to 776 of the family's 1533-position model. The record is from RNAcentral.